CGUUAUUCCGACAAGCCUCAACUCCCUCCUCCUCCUCCUCCUCCUCUCAUAUAUAGCUAGCGUUCAGGAAAAUCCACGCCUAUGACCCUCAUCUGGUACUGGCCAAUCGCCCUUAGUGGAUAACGGCCAUUUCCCCGAGGAUGAAGAAGAAGAAGAAGAAGAAGUAAGCGCUCCGUGCUAUGAAGGCUGCUUCACCGAUAGCUCCUGCGGGAAACGGUCUGUUAGCGAAAGCGACGAAGUGACUUUGCUCUUGGCCUCUGGGUCUGCCACUUGCCCAUACCUUGUUGGUAACCGGCGGUGUCGAGCGACAGCUGUUAAGGGCUCAAUUUUGUGAAGAUCCCGUCCUAUACGUCGCAUCGCCGAAAACCUUUCUCUCCCGUGGCGUGAGAUGAAGCGAAGAAACGAGGAAAAUGCGCACGAUGCGGAUAGGUCGUUUCGGAGGGUCACGUUGGCUGUGACGUUGGCGUCACGUGCCUCGGAGAAAAAGUGGCAGCGGCGUUUGCUGGUUAACAUGUCAUGGCGCGUGAGGCGUUGCGCCGCUCGUCGCCCGCAGCAGCAGCAGUGUGGACGUUAUUGCAUGUGUAUGUGAAGAGCCGGUGUUAUGGGCCGCGCUAUAGGAGGUGUACGAACAAAGGUGGUCUUACUGCGGACUACAAUCGACAGGGCGAAUCAUGUAUGUUGCGAAAGGCAAGCUCAAAUAAACAGCUCUAUCACUGUC
Long non-coding RNA from Ornithodoros turicata, 718 nucleotides. RefSeq lists it as uncharacterized. NCBI's taxonomy places the organism in Eukaryota, Metazoa, Arthropoda, Arachnida, Ixodida, Argasidae. The record is from RefSeq and is a predicted model, not a curated record. The transcript is spliced from 2 exons.